UACAGAGGGUGCAAGCGUUAAUCGGAAUUACUGGGCGUAAAGCGUGCGUAGACGGUAGCGUAAGUCGGGUGUGAAAGCCCCGGGCUCAACCUGGGAAUUGCAUUCGAGACUGCUCUGCUAGGGUGCGGAAGAGGGAAGCGGAAUUUCCGGUGUAGCGGUGAAAUGCGCAGAUAUCGGGAAGAACACCCGUGGCGAAGGCG
This 200-nucleotide ribosomal RNA is filed under the name uncultured bacterium. RNAcentral describes it as "partial 16S ribosomal RNA". It matches the Rfam family "Bacterial small subunit ribosomal RNA", at positions 524 to 723 of the family's 1533-position model. The record is from RNAcentral.